UCAUCAGGUAGAAUAAUCCUUAUGUGUUCCUCUGUUCAGAGGACAGGAGAACAUGAUCCUUGGAGUUUGCAUGAUUUGUGAUUAACACUUGUAAUUGAUUAGGACUUGCAAUACCCUAAUCUGAUUGGUCUAAG
Small nucleolar RNA from Sorex fumeus (smoky shrew), 134 nucleotides. RefSeq annotates it as U8 small nucleolar RNA. The record is from RefSeq and is a predicted model, not a curated record. The transcript has a single exon. Lineage: Eukaryota; Metazoa; Chordata; Mammalia; Eulipotyphla; Soricidae.